Molecule: ribosomal RNA, 493 nt
Filed under: uncultured bacterium
Lineage: Bacteria
Description: partial 16S ribosomal RNA
Rfam family: Bacterial small subunit ribosomal RNA
Source: RNAcentral
AUUGAACGCUGGCGGCAUGCUUUACACAUGCAAGUCGAACGGUAACAGGUUAAGCUGACGAGUGGCGAACGGGUGAGUAAUGCAUCGGAACGUGCCCGAUCGUGGGGGAUAACGCAGCGAAAGCUGCGCUAAUACCGCAUACGAUCUGAGGAUGAAGGCGGGGGACCGUAAGGCCUCGCGCGAUCGGAGCGGCCGAUGUCAGAUUAGGUAGUUGGUGGGGUAAAGGCCCACCAAGCCGACGAUCUGUAGCUGGUCUGAGAGGACGACCAGCCACACUGGGACUGAGACACGGCCCAGACUCCUACGGGAGGCAGCAGUGGGGAAUUUUGGACAAUGGGCGAAAGCCUGAUCCAGCAAUGCCGCGUGCAGGAGGAAGGCCUUCGGGUUGUAAACUGCUUUUGUACGGAGCGAAAAGGUCUCCUCUAAUACAGGGGGCUCAUGACGGUACCGUAAGAAUAAGCACCGGCUAACUACGUGCCAGCAGCCGCUGUAA